RNAcentral lists this unclassified non-coding RNA (441 nucleotides) under Hevea brasiliensis (rubber tree). The record is from RNAcentral. Lineage: Eukaryota; Viridiplantae; Streptophyta; Magnoliopsida; Malpighiales; Euphorbiaceae.
GCCUGCAUACAGAUCUUUCAUCAAGCGCUUCGGGCUCAUGGUUGAGAGCGGUAAGAACCCCCAAAAGUAUAUCAGGUACUCGGCUGAAGAUCUUGAACGUAUGCUUGGUGAAUUUUUCGAGGGUAAGACGUUGAAUGAGCCAAAACGAUGAACCUCUGACUAAAAAAGCUAGCUGCAUCUUCCACACUUUUUCUGUGCUGAUACACGACAUAGUUCUUCCGUCAACGUUGAUGGCUUUGUUAAGGUUUAUCAUGUGUGAGAUCUGCAGGUUGCAACAAAAGUUUGAGGAAAUAAAAUGUGACAAAAGUAUAUAGGAUAUAUGACAACAGUAAAAUGCAGUGUUUUUUUCUUAUAGUUCAAGUAUUUAACAUGACAUGUUAAGUUUGUACAGAAAAAAUAUCAUUCUUAUUCCAUCAUAUGACAUUUGAGGACAAAGAGUAA